AUGGACUUCUUAUACCACUGUCCUUCUUUCCCCAUGGGGCCUGGUAUGCAGUGGCUGGAGAGAGCAGCCUCCUUUGUAGCAUAUGUGGACUGUUGCUUGCAUGUGUUGCAUUGGACCUUGGAGACAGCC
Small nucleolar RNA from Choloepus hoffmanni (Hoffmann's two-fingered sloth), 129 nucleotides. Its record names the gene SNORA70. It matches the Rfam family "Small nucleolar RNA SNORA70". From Rfam's summary of the family: snoRNA U70 seems to be exclusive to mammals and is a member of the H/ACA class of snoRNA which contain H (ANANNA) and ACA box motifs. H/ACA box snoRNAs are involved in the conversion of uridines to pseudouridines (5-ribosyluracil) a constituent of structural RNAs (transfer, ribosomal, small nuclear, and small nucleolar). NCBI's taxonomy places the organism in Eukaryota, Metazoa, Chordata, Mammalia, Pilosa, Megalonychidae. The record is from Ensembl.